Molecule: unclassified non-coding RNA, 215 nt
Filed under: Clostridioides difficile
Lineage: Bacteria; Bacillati; Bacillota; Clostridia; Peptostreptococcales; Peptostreptococcaceae
Description: 16S-23S ribosomal RNA intergenic spacer
Source: RNAcentral
ACCUACUGUUUAAUUUUGAGGGUUCGUUUUUACGAAUACUCAAAAUUAGCACUUUAAGCAACGGGAUUUAUCCGUUGGCGCUGUGCUUUAGCACUUUGAAAACUGCAUAUAUAUUUAGUGAUAUGACAUCUAAUUUGUAAUAUAUAAAGCUGAUAACUUUUUAAAAUUAUCAAAGUUGAUAGCUUCUAAUCUAUCAAACCUUUUUAACUGGUCAA